Molecule: non-coding RNA, 8792 nt
Organism: Xyrichtys novacula (pearly razorfish)
Lineage: Eukaryota; Metazoa; Chordata; Actinopteri; Labriformes; Labridae
Source: the annotation of a GenBank genome assembly
ACUUAUAGUCCGGAAAAUAUGGUAGUUUAAAAGUCAUUUAUGAUUGUAUAUAGAGUUGUUCCAUUUCCAACAAAAAUGCCGAAAAUGCUGGCAUCUGUAUCAAUGAGUACCGGUGUCCAGGCACCGAUCCGAUUCCAUGUAAUUUAUUUAAUUAGUUAUUCAUUUACUGGUUAUCUCCGUUAGCUCUGUUCUGUUUGAAUUCCCUUUAUAUCUAAAAAUAUUGUGGCUGCACUUUAAUUUUGAAAAAAUACUUGUUUCUAGAUUUAUUUAACAUACUGGUAUCAGGAUCGGUACUGGGUAUUAGCCGAUACCAACAGCACAAGUAUUGGAAUCGGUCUCGGGAGGGAAAAACUAGUAUUGGAAAUCACAAAUAUCCAUGGUAUGAGUCGCAUGGGAGGGCAACAUAAAUGCUGGACAGUAUCUCCAGGUUUCAGAGCUAUGGAUUCACUGUCUGGCUAAGGGUUUGGUCCAGGCUAGUCUUGCAGUUAAACCAGUCUCUACCGAUGAAAGGUGCUGAAAAUACCUUUGACAUGACAUGCUGCCAGACUGAAAUAAGAGUGUACAAUAUUGAAUCUGCAACGUCUGGAGUUGAAAUGCCACUCACAGCCCUCUGUCAUGUCUCUCAAACCUCUCUUCUUUUCCUGUUUCGUCUCUAAACACAAACCUACGAAGCAGAGACGUCGUAGACAUUGUGUUAAAAACAGAAAGCGCAGUAUUCCCUGGGACUCUCUUCAAGGGCUGAGUGAAACGUCACCCAAAUGAAGAAUGGCACCGAUAUCCAGCCAGAGGACAGCUUCCUCACUCUCCCUGUUUUCUGAGCCAGAUAAAUCAGCUCAAGGUUCCUCAGUGAUCCUCUGUGUGCCAGUGGAGGGGGGAUUUAUCAUUCUCAGAUAAAGGCUCGGUGCUCGUCAACGUUCCCUUUCACCCUCUGUGCUGAAUUUAUGAGAAGUGGUGGCAUUGUGUGUGAGCAGCCUUCCUAGUCACACAACAGAGUGCAAAAGGGCUGCACAACAAGACAAUCCAUUGUGUUCAUGCUAUUAAUUUUCCACCCAGAGGAUUACAUUCAGACAUUUGACAAAUUGUGUAUUACACAGUGAUUUGGAGAGGGGAAAGGGGACUGCAGCAAGGGUACAAACGGUGUCAAAUUCACCCUGUUUCUCAGAUGUGAAAUUUAUGUUUUACAAUUUUAUGAGCUGCAAAUUCUUAAUCAUUCUGAUUAAUUCUACAAGACCUGAUUUAAUUACUGUGAUUUCUUCUUCCUGCAGAGACUUUAUAGGCUGUCACUGCAGAGUACUAGUUGUCCUUUUAAGCCAAAUUGUUUUGUUUGCUAACUAAAAGGCACUGUGAGGAGUUUUCAUGUGUAGUGGACAAAAAAUCAGAAGCUUUCAAGCACCCUCGCCCACUGCUGUAAAGAUGUGGCCCCUGUAGAGCAUGCAUUUUGUUGUUUAAGUCAAUGAAUGCAAACAGAACAUGAAUUUUACCAAAAAAAAGGGGUGUCCCGAUACGAUAUCAGCAAAAAUUUGAAUAUCGGAUUAUAUCGGCCUGCAUCAAAUAUCUCCGAUACAAGCAGUCCACUCCAGACUCCGCUCCAGCACCUCUAUCUAGCAGCACUCGGAUCCAGCAUGUAGAGCCCAAGGGAUCACAACAACAGUGUGUACUAAAGUAAUAACAAAGUACCAAGGAGUAGGAGUGAUGUUGGCCCUGUGGCAGAAUUUUUCAUUAAAUUCCGAAAAAGAAGCUGCAGCUGAGUGCAAAAGAUGUGCCAAUAUCGGAUCAAUAUCGGUAUUGGACAAUACUGAAGGCUACAAUAUUGGAAUCGCAUUGGAGGUAAAAGGUUGUAUCGGACACCAAACCAUACCAAAAACUGCACAUUUAAUCCUGCAAUGAUCAACAUUAAAAGUAACAAAUGCGGCAUUCCCCAACUGCACUUCCUUGAGUGGCCACUUGAGGCGCCUAAUGAAACCUGAGUUAAAAAUGUCCAAUGUUACGCCUCACAGCAAAUAUAGCACAGCAAAUUUUGACUAUCAAAAGCCAGCAGGAUUCGACUUUUUUGUCAAAAUGCUCAUUAAACAUGUAGAGGACACAGGCAGAUUUGUCCACAGGGGGCGCCAAAUUCAGCACAAAACAAAAGUUCCUCACAGGAGCUUUAACAUAAAAAAUGUCCUGAUUUUCCAGAUUUUUUUACUUCGGAUUAUCUCGGUGACAGUCAGGUAACUGCUAACUGCUGGUUGUCUCCUGUCUACUUCAUCGAUUAUUUUUGCUGUUGAUGCCUUUUGCGAAACGUCUCUAACAUUCACUUUGUCCCGCUGUGGGAGGUUCACUUCACUCUCACUCUCUUUAACUGGCUCGUCAACUUCAUCACUGAUUUAUUUGUGGCUGCCAAUGCAUAUAAGUUAGCCUUGGCCUGAUUGAAGCUGCUAAAUGACUUACUGGUGAAGAAUGGCUGUGACGUGCAGCGGUAAUGUUGCAUAGAACAGGUGCUUUGUUCACUUCAUAUCACAAAUAUAAUACACUGUUGUAGCUUUUGUAACCGCUUUACCGGGAUCUGAGCAUGCCUCAACACUGACUACCUAUUGAUGUAACUAUCAAGCUAUUUUCUUCCCUGUGUCUGCAGCACUUCAUUGUUCUCUUCACAGGAGAUAAUCUAUAUCGCAAACACAACACCAGUAAAAGACAUGAUAAAGAAAUAAAAGUAAUUCAGCCAAGGACAGUCGAACCUGUGAAGAAAUACCCUCCCACCUCUUGUCAAGACUAGUAGAAAUACAGAAUGUUGGUUUGAGGGAUGAAUGUAAAAUAUUAAUGCAAGAUUUGAGCUUCUCUUUCACUUUGGUUCUGAACCAACUCACAGUUCAGGAAAUCGAUUCCACUUUAUGAAUUUCUCUCGGCUAAAGGUGGGAGAAAGAGCCGGUGUAGUGUCUAGCUUUGAUGCUGACAAAUAAGCGAAGAAAAGAUCUUAAAGUUUCUUGUAAAGUUGACUUUCAACAUAACUCAUGUUUUUCCUGUUAUUGAAUUAAGCAGAGUUUGGAGCUGACCAACAGUAAGGUGUUUCCUAUGACCAUGCAGUGGUUGCACGUGAGCUAAUGCUUUCCUCCCGGUCUCUAAAGAGCGAUGUGAAUCAGUACUAACUAAAGCUGGGGUUAAAAAAUAAACUGCAAUUACAGUUUAUUGUCAAAGGAGCUGGUCUAAACCAAGCCAUAUCAUCCAGUGAUGAGAAUAAAUGCAAAUGUGCCAAAAACUGCAGUUCCUCAAGUGUCCACUGGAGGCUGGCCCUGAAAGUCAAGGAAACCCCAUUUACGCUCAUGUUAAACAUCCAACUUUACAUUACCUUCACAGCUAAAUCAAGUAAUUUCGAAUUUAAGGAUAAUUGGAAUAAGGGGGUUCAAAGUCUGACAAAUAACCACCUUGAUAAGGUUUAGGGCUGGGGCGAUUCGUCAAUGUAGAUUGCUAAAAAGCAAUGUUGAGUGCUUUGUGAAUGUAAAAAAGCAUGGAUAAAAAUGCACUGUUUUUUGUUUUGUUGGAUUUCAAGAGAAUCUUAAACAAAUCAUUGAAUCAAAUACUAAUAGGACAAGUUUUUAAUUAUGUCGGUCAAAUUCAUUGUUAUGAUAAUAGGUUAAAAACAGUAAUUGUUAGAAUAGUCAAUAAAUUAGUCGAUAGAUUAGUCGACUUAUUGAAAAAAUAAUCGUUAGGUGCAGCCCUAAUAAGGUUUUUAUUCUGUUUACAACAUCUGAAAGUAAAAAAUUUGGAUAAUUUCUGUCUAACCCUUGCAGGCAUGCUAGCUGAGUACAAAUAACUUGUAAAUGUUUUUCCUGUAGUUUCAUCAAAAAGACCAAAACCAACAGUAAAGUCAUCAUAUCAGCACUUUCUGUCUUCGUGGUCAGAGCCUGAAUGUUUUAUUCCUCUCAGCUUCAGCUUUACUGUUGUUCAAAAACUAUUAAAAGCACAUCAUUAAGCAUCCCUGCUGCUCUUGGUGACACGUUCCCUCAUUACAAUAAACAAGGGCACUGUUGUUUAUUCUCAGUCUGCCCCAUACACACUGUCCUGCUGCUGCAAAUACUUACUAUGGAACAUAUGGUGUUCAGACUGCAGCUGAAAACGGCCCUCCACAAAUACAACAUUUAGUCCUGUUUGAGUAAUAGGUAAACAAAACUGUAGUGUCCAGGUGUUUGAGGAAAUACCUCAGCCUUUGUAAUGUGGCGUUUUCUAUUUGUAAAGCAUUUUUCAAGACUAGAGAAGGAGAAACUACUGAGCACAAAAAACUACCCUGACUCUAAGGUUAGGGUAAGAAAGUGGGUUUAAGCUUUUCACUUUUUAACAUCGACAAAAACAUCCGCCUGACUCGAAAUAAGAUGGUAUCAGGUUUUUAUCAAACCAUAACUAAGUAUUUCUUUAUUCUGAGCGUCCCCCACUCAAUUGUCCUUAAAAGCAGGGGUGUGUCUAGACUUUUUGUAUGGGGGUGGCCCUAAACACUCUGUGAACUUACAGUAAAAUCCACUCACUUCGUUAGUCCGGUUUGUACAAUCCCUAACAAAAAGUGUCUCGAACCAUAAAAACACCCUCCCCUCACCCCUACCCCCUUAUAGUAACUCAAUAGCCACAAAUGCAUUGGCACACCUUUUAUACUUGGGCCCCUAACCGUGGACCAAUCAGAGGCUGUAUUUGAAAUCAGCUGACAGAUGUAUGCCUGAGUGCAACUGAGACUACGUUUACGUGUGCCCGGCAAUUUUCAUAAACAGACAUUUCACCCUCUCCAUUGACAAAAAAAAACUGCGUGCAUACCACUACGUUUUCAGACUCGUUUAUACUAACCCGUGUAUAUAUGCCGUCAAGAGCAUGCCAAACCUGUAGGUGGCAGUGUAGCGAGAAGCUCAAGCCCACGUUAGCCAAUCAGAAUCCCGCAUAGCAGCAACAACAACGUCCCCUUCCUCUUUCUGAAAAGAAAAGCAUCGUUUUCAGGGGUGACUUCUCCAUUCGCGUUUAAAGGAAGGGUGCAAACGAUGGUUAAUGUCUCCGGUUUUAAAAAGUAACUGGGUACGUAUAAACGGGGCCUUAAUGUCUGCCUGAAAGCUGAAAGUUCUGACUGACAUCAAAUUAAGUCUGUUCUGUUCUGAGUAUAAACCCUGUAGAAACCACUAAAGCUUGUGUUUGACAAAAACAAAGUGCUGAGGACAGAUUUUAUAUUCUGGACACAACUCUUUGAGUUUCUUUAUCACGCUGUCAGAACUAUUUCUCUUUUGGGUUGUGUUACUUGAACUCUCUGCAGAUAGUGUCAAUGGAGAGGAGAGUCCGCCGGUGUGACACCACUCAGACCGACUGCUCCGGAGCUGUGAUUGGUCACAGUCAGGAUUGGUGCGCUUGUGUUUGGGUCAAAGAGUCAGUCGUAGCAAAGUCGGACAUAAGAUUCAUAAACUUCCCCCUGAUGUAUGUCGGUGCCAGCUGCCUAAAGAUGCACCUGAAAGCAAAGUGAUCUAUCUGUCUCUGCCUGUCCAGGUGUGUUUCCUGACUUGUUUUCUACCUGUUUCUAAUUAGAUGAUUAAAUUGAUUUAUAGUCAGAUGACAAAUGACUUUUUUGAGAGACUGAGACCAAGACUAACUCUAAAAUAACCACCGAAAUGAACACUAAACCACUUAGAAAACAACCCUAAACCAUGCUAAGUCCUCGUUUACUUGUUUUGACCAUAAACUCGUAAAUAUGCAGAAUCACAAAGAAAUCUGACGGAUAUUUCACGGUAACUGUACGUGUUUUUAGUCGUCUCUUUAAAAGAAAAGUAUCAAACUUCAGUAUCUAAGUGAUGAGAAAACCUCACCAUACCUGCAGCGCGCUUUUAGCCGAUGACGUCUCCGACUACAUCGCUCCAACUUUCAAAACUUGCCUCUAAUGACGGACAUCUGUGUGUUUUUAGAGGAAAUGAUGGUUGAAUUCAAGAAGCCUAAACAUUUUUAAAAUACAUGCCAGACUCUUUGACAUGAAACCCCUCAUUUACAGCAUUUCUGUCCUUUUUUUCCUUUUCUCAUAAUGAACCACGGUUUGCCACGGACCAUCAACUGCUGGCUCCUACAGCCUGGUCGUCAUAUCACGAGCUCUUGAAAGACAUUCCCUGCUCAUUAGCUGAUGUCCUGAGGCACAGCUGUCUCUACUUUCUGCUUGUGAAGCUUUUGUUGUUGACCUCCGGGUGCUUUGGCCACCACUCUCCUUUUAUUCUCUUCCUCCCCGUCUCACACACUCAGUUCAUCCCUCGGUUCCCUGUGAUCGCCUCUGGGCAGACCGCGGCUCAUUCUGUAUCUCUUAUGGAUGUCUUUUUAUGGUGCUGGGUGCUGAGAAUCUGAGGCUGCAUCCUUAUUAGGUAACUCUGGUGAUCAAGAGAGGGGUGAAGACGCUGUGAUGGCUGAUGUCUUUUUGCUAAGAUGUGACAAAGCUGUGAUAUUUCAAAAUAAAACCCGAGGCGAGAUAAACCGAGUCUCCUCAGUGUGAUCGUCUCUGUCAUCACAAACCUCCCCCCUGGUCUGGUCAGCUGAAAUGCUUCAUUUUCCAUCCCGGCUCUCAUUGUUAUGACAGCAGGGGUUUUAGUUUUACAGCUGACUCAGGUUACUCUCUGCCUCGUCGAGUCAUAACUGCUGAGUCACUGUACAGCCGUGGGGCCUCGCGCCAUGUCUCCUGAUCAAAGGGGCUUGACCAUCAGCAGAAUAAACCCGACGUCGGUCAUCUGACAUGAGGCGGAGACAUCCAUUUAAACCGGCGCUGACACCUGAUCCGGUAGGUGAGCUUUAGGUGUCAAAUCUGACGUGCACAUUUCAAUUCCAGGCAAGGAUUCUGACUGUCUCCACGCACCAAAUUAGACACUCCUACUACUCUGGCAGCACGCGAAUAGACGGGUUUCUUGUGUACGAACAAAACGAGGUGUGCGCAACCAGGGGGCAAAAGCCUGCUUCAGAGUGAACUGAUACCAAUGAAGAUGUCAUAUUGUUUGCAAGUUCUCCCUGACACAAUUGCAAUAAAAUGUCAUUUCAUUGAAAAAUCACUUUGUCUUUCAUUGCAUCAAAAUCAGAAACACACUUGCUGAAAUGUCCAUGAAUUUCACUCAAUUUACCAGGUUGUGACGUUGUUGUUUUAGAUGUUUCUAAUAUCAGGAGCAGGGUCGUAAUGUUUGCCGAUUGUUUGUUUUGCCGAUUUGUGAAGUUUACAGCACAACAGCUUCUUGUCAUUUUCUUUCUCCGUUGACUACGCUAGUAAACAAAUAAGAAACGUCCCGCUUUCUGCACCCUGGCUGCGCGCGCAUAUCUGCGAUGAUGUUGCACAGAAACCCGUCUAUUGGGCCGGAGCUGAAAGUGUCUCAACUUGAAAGGAUAUUAGCAUCACGAUAGCUAAACAGCACAAAGGUUGCCGGGUAAUGUAUGAAAACGGACGGUUGUUCACUGGUAUCUAAAAUGGAGGACAAACUGAUCGUGUCAGUGUGUGGAUGCCCUGAAUUAUAUGAUACAACUUCUGAACCGUCCUCCAUCUCCUCACCCGUCUUUCCCUCUUUGUUACAGACUGGAUGGGGUGGAGUCACGUCUUAAAGGGACAUAAGACCACAGCCUACCUACACACAUCCAAAACCAGCUUCUAUUUAUUUAUUUUUUGACUGUUUUUUACCAAUUUGGGCAAAAUGAUGUUGGUUGUUGUGGUAAAUUUCGGUAUCUGUAAGUUUUCGGUUUAUCGCCCAGCCCUAGCUUGAAGCUCUGAGACAGACUCCCAGUUUCUGGAACAUUCAGGGGUUUUCAAUCCGACAGAGGAGAUCGGUCUACUUUCAGAGACUGAUCCCUCAUAAACGAAGCUUACCUGUUCUACAUUUUCGGUUUCAUAAUCUUUGGUGUCAAAUCUUUGUGUCAGAGCUCGGGCCAUGUGGGAUUUCUCUUUGCGUGCGUUUAUUCUCUUAAUUAACUCUUAAUCAAACACGACAGAUCAGUCAAAUUCAUGAAUCCCCGAGGAUGGAAAUAAACCCAUACAGCGUUUUUUCAAACUCCAUCACAGCAGGGCCGUGUGCAUACAGUGAGGAGAUGUGCAUUAGAACAUUAACCUCCACCCACACUCACGCACCCUCACGAUGACCCAAAGGCAUUCAACAGAACUGAUGCUGAGAUGUGAAAAUGUGAGGUUGCAUCAAAAGCUGAAGCUGGAAUCACAUAAACUAACCCAGCAGUGACUCAACAUUCGAGCAGAACUAUUCAGCUCGCCUGGAGUAGCACACAGAUGUCUGCUCGCUGUAGGGUGUAACAACUGCGUGACUUGAUCAGUGACUUUCUCUGGUUUUCCUCAGGUUGGGAUUUAAGGAAUAAGACAAAAAAAAAAGCUGCAGCAUAUGGCCAAGAGUGCCGUGUUAUGUAAACUGUAAUCCAGGGAAUUUAAGGCACAAUGAAGACGCAGACAGCCAGCUCAGGCGAUACAGAGUGAUGUGUCUUUAAAAAGGAAAAAGAAAAGGUAAUAAAGGAGGAGAUAGCUGUUUCUGUGCCUGUUUACUCUUUCAGCUGCAGGUGGGAUUAAAUCUGAUUUAAACGGGCGCUUCCUGGCAGGAAAACUCGCAAAAUUAGACAUGAGCUUAAAUAAACAUCUGUGUGUACUCUGGAUAAUGCAAAGUUUAAAAAACAGAAACUGUGGUGAUUAAAACUGAAUCCAGUGUGAGAGUACAGAAAACUGUGAACAAUGUUUAAAUCAGAGUAAAACAGGAAUGAGGAUCAAUUUUCAAAACAAGAUAAUCAAUAAUGUUUGAGAUGAUCAAGUCUGUUAUUGCGUCUCUGGGUUUAGUUGUAGCCCGAAA